This 437-nucleotide ribosomal RNA is filed under the name uncultured bacterium. Its description in RNAcentral is "partial 16S ribosomal RNA". It matches the Rfam family "Bacterial small subunit ribosomal RNA", at positions 29 to 507 of the family's 1533-position model. The record is from RNAcentral.
AGCGAACGCUGGCGGCAGGCUUAACACAUGCAAGUCGAGCGGGCAUCCUUGUGGUGUCAGCGGCAGACGGGUGAGUAACGCGUGGGAACGUGCCCUUCGUUUCGGAAUAACUCAGGGAAACUUGAGCUAAUACCGGAUACGUGCGAGAGCAGAAAGGUUUAUCUGCCGAAGGAUCGGCCCGCGUCUGAUUAGCUAGUUGGUGAGGUUACGGCUCACCAAGGCGACGAUCAGUAGCUGGUCUGAGAGGAUGAUCAGCCACACUGGGACUGAGACACGGCCCAGACUCCUACGGGAGGCAGCAGUGGGGAAUAUUGGACAAUGGGGGCAACCCUGAUCCAGCCAUGCCGCGUGAGUGAUGACGGCCUUAGGGUUGUAAAGCUCUUUUCUCCGGGACGAUAAUGACGGUACCGGAGGAAUAAGCCCCGGCUAACUUCGUG